UGGGGAAUAUUGGACAAUGGGCGAAAGCCUGAUCCAGCCAUGCCGCGUGUGUGAAGAAGGUCUUCGGAUUGUAAAGCACUUUAAGUUGGGAGGAAGGGCAGUAAGCGAAUACCUUGCUGUUUUGACGUUACCGAUAGAAUAAGCACCGGCUAACUCUGUGCCAGCAGCCGCGGUAAUACAGAGGGUGCAAGCGUUAAUCGGAAUUACUGGGCGUAAAGCGCGCGUAGGUGGUUCGUUAAGUUGAAUGUGAAAGCCCCGGGCUCAACCUGGGAACUGCAUCCAAAACUGGCGAGCUAGAGUAGGGCAGAGGGUGGUGGAAUUUCCUGUGUAGCGGUGAAAUGCGUAGAUAUAGGAAGGAACACCAGUGGCGAAGGCGACCACCUGGGCUCAUACUGACACUGAGGUGCGAAAGCGUGGGGAGCAAACAGG
RNAcentral lists this ribosomal RNA (429 nucleotides) under Pseudomonadota bacterium. Its description in RNAcentral is "Proteobacteria bacterium partial 16S ribosomal RNA". It matches the Rfam family "Bacterial small subunit ribosomal RNA", at positions 355 to 776 of the family's 1533-position model. The record is from RNAcentral. Lineage: Bacteria; Pseudomonadati; Pseudomonadota.